This 492-nucleotide ribosomal RNA is filed under the name uncultured bacterium. RNAcentral describes it as "partial 16S ribosomal RNA". It matches the Rfam family "Bacterial small subunit ribosomal RNA", at positions 29 to 507 of the family's 1533-position model. The record is from RNAcentral.
AGUGAACGCUGGCGGUAGGCCUAACACAUGCAAGUCGAACGGCAGCACAGUAAGUGCUUGCUCUUACGGGUGGCGAGUGGCGGACGGGUGACGAAUACAUCGGAAUCUACUUUUUCGUGGGGGAUAACGUAGGGAAACUUACGCUAAUACCGCAUACGACCUACGGGUGAAAGCAGGGGAUCUUUGGACCUUGCGCGAUUGAAUGAGCCGAUGUCGGAUUAGCUAGUUGGGGGGGUAAAGGCCCACCAAGGCGACGAUCCGUAGCUGGUCUGAGAGGAUGAUCCGCCACACUGGAGCUGAGACAUGGUCCAGACUCCUGCGAGAGGCAGCAGUGGGGAAUAUUGGACAAGGGGCGCAAGCCUGAUACAGCCAGACCGCGUGGGUGAAGAAGGCCUUCGGGUUGUAAAGCCCUUUUGUUGGGAAAGAAAAGCAGCAGGUUAAUACCGCGCUGUUCUGACGGUACCCAGAGAAUAAGCACCGGCUAACUUCGUG